ACUCAAAUGAAUUGACGGGGACCCGCACAAGCGGUGGAGCGUGUGGUUUAAUUCGAGGCUACGCGAAGAACCUUACCAAGGCUUGACAUCCCAGUCGCCGGCCUAGGAAACUAGGCCUUCAUUUAGUUGGACUGGUGACAGGUGAUGCAUGGCCGUCGUCAGCUCGUGUCGUGAGAUGUCAGGUUAAGUCCUUUAACGAGCGCAACCCUCGUGGCUAGUUGUAUAUGUCUAGCCAGACUGCCUCGGCAACGGGGAGGAAGGAGGGGAUGAUGCCAGGUCAGCAUGUCCCUCACGCCUUGGGCGACACACACGCUACAAUGGCCGGUACAAUGGGCCGCUAAGUCGCGAGACGGAGCUAACCCCACCAAAGCCGGUCCCAGUUCGGAUUGUAGGCUGCAACUCGCCUGCAUGAAGUUGGAAUCGCUAGUAACCGUAGGUCAGCAUACUACGGUGAAUACGUUCCCGGGUCUUGUACACACCGCCCGU
RNAcentral lists this ribosomal RNA (486 nucleotides) under uncultured bacterium. RNAcentral's name for it is "partial 16S ribosomal RNA". It matches the Rfam family "Bacterial small subunit ribosomal RNA", at positions 899 to 1397 of the family's 1533-position model. The record is from RNAcentral.